AGAGUCAUGCUCGUGAACACAUUAGGGUAUUGAUGAAUUGAGAGUAUGAAUGUCAUUCUUGAUUAAGAUGCUAUGAAUCUUAGGGGUAAAAAUUGGGGUAUGACACCUCUCAAGAGGAUGGAAUCACAAAUUCAAGAUGAUUAUCCCUUACCCACAAAAAGAGUGAGAUAGUCACGACCCGUGCAAUGAAUUAAAAAAAGCAGUGUCGCAGGAUUUACUCAAAAAAAAAAGAUGAGAUGAAAAAAAAACAAAUAAAAAGCAAAUGAAAAGCUCGCUAAGUCAA
Molecule: long non-coding RNA, 283 nt
Filed under: Lathyrus oleraceus (garden pea)
Lineage: Eukaryota; Viridiplantae; Streptophyta; Magnoliopsida; Fabales; Fabaceae
Description: Pisum sativum (pea) long non-coding RNA (PSAT_LNC042089)
Source: RNAcentral